Molecule: non-coding RNA, 87 nt
Filed under: Pseudomonas jessenii
Lineage: Bacteria; Pseudomonadati; Pseudomonadota; Gammaproteobacteria; Pseudomonadales; Pseudomonadaceae
Source: RNAcentral
UUCUAUGGCGGCUGUGUGCGGGCGGACUUCGGUUCGGCCGGGUUGAUCUCUUACCGGUUUCUCACUCCGUACAUAGCUGCCACCUCU